UACGGAGGGAGCUAGCGUUGUUCGGAAUUACUGGGCGUAAAGCGCGCGUAGGCGGCUUUGUAAGUUAGAGGUGAAAGCCCGGGGCUCAACCCCGGAACUGCCUUUAAGACUGCAUCGCUUGAAUCCGGGAGAGGUGAGUGGAAUUCCGAGUGUAGAGGUGAAAUUCGUAGAUAUUCGCAAGAACACCAGUGGCGAAGGCGGCUCACUGGCCCGAUACUGACGCUGAGAAGCGAAAGCAUGGGGAGCGAACAGG
Molecule: ribosomal RNA, 253 nt
Filed under: uncultured bacterium
Lineage: Bacteria
Description: partial 16S ribosomal RNA
Rfam family: Bacterial small subunit ribosomal RNA
Source: RNAcentral